Molecule: unclassified non-coding RNA, 315 nt
Filed under: Hevea brasiliensis (rubber tree)
Lineage: Eukaryota; Viridiplantae; Streptophyta; Magnoliopsida; Malpighiales; Euphorbiaceae
Source: RNAcentral
UCGAGAACUCGAAGAGAUGAUCGUCACCCUUCAGCUAACUCCCGGCACCAUACUAUCCGAACAUACCCUUGCACUGAAACUGAAGAUCGGCCGAACUCCGAUUCGCGAAGCGCUGCAACGUCUCGCGCGCGACGGUCUCGAUGCCGAGGCGCGGCAUCAUGGUCUCGGAGAUCAAUCUCAGGCUGCAACUGCGGCUGCUCGAAGUGCGCCGCGAGCUUGAGCGGCUGAUGGCGAGACUGGCAGCCGAACGNNNNUGAAGAACGUCAGGAAUUCGCGGAAGUCGCUCGUGGAAUGCUCAAGGCGGCAGCUCAGGCG